RNAcentral lists this unclassified non-coding RNA (254 nucleotides) under Hevea brasiliensis (rubber tree). Lineage: Eukaryota; Viridiplantae; Streptophyta; Magnoliopsida; Malpighiales; Euphorbiaceae. The record is from RNAcentral.
AAAAUAUCCAAAACAUCCGGUUGGAAAGUUUGAGGAGGCAUGUUGGUUUGGUUUCUCAAGAUAUAUCACUUUUUUCUGGAACGGUUGCUGAAAACAUUGGAUAUAGGGAUCUGAUGACAGAAAUAGACACGGAGAAGGUCGAGGCGGCAGCAAGAAUUGCAAAUGCUGAUGAAUUUAUUAGAAUGCUUCCCAAAGGGUACAAAACAUAUAUUGGACCAAGGGGGUCAAGUUUAAGCGGUGGCCAAAAACAAAGA